RNAcentral lists this long non-coding RNA (32208 nucleotides) under Coffea arabica (coffee). Its description in RNAcentral is "long non-coding RNA (CARA_LNC000036)". Lineage: Eukaryota; Viridiplantae; Streptophyta; Magnoliopsida; Gentianales; Rubiaceae. The record is from RNAcentral.
UUUUUUUUUUUUUUUUUUUUUUUGCCAUUUAGAAAGUCCUUGAAGAAUCUUAUUUGACAAACUAAUAGGCCAGAGCAAAAGCAUUGCUAAAAAGGAAACGAAGACGAAGAGUUUGAAACAUCAAGAUUUUUUUUUUUUUUCUCUCUGAAACAUCCAAGAUUCAAGAGCUGAAAUUGUAGCUUGUAUUAGACAACGAUUUAGCAAUAGCUGGAUCUUUUGUUGGCAAGUACAUUGGAAAUAGUAGGGUAAAUCUUUUAGUAUACUUAACAGUGUGUACGCUAACGAAUCUAGAUACGCCUGCAUAUGUAAAAUUUAAAAUUCAACUCCAAAUAUUUGUUGUGUUUGGAUAGCAAAUUAUUUACAUAAAAUUAUUUGUUUAAAUCAUAAAUAUAUUUUUCAAUUACCUUUUUAUUUCAUAUAUAUCACAUCAAAAAGUGAUACAAUAUAUUUUUUAAAAAUUAUCCCAAAUGAUCUCUUAUCCAAACACACUAGACAAAGCAAGUUCCAUCGUGUAUGGACAGCUCCAUCAUGUUGCUUUGGCAAUCACCUCUCCUAUUUUUGCCUUUUUGGUAGAGCAGUUCCAGAAAGUUGGUUUUGUGCAGCAUAUCUGCUGUGGCGGGGGAGAAACAAAAAGUUCCACGAAAUCAGAAAACUUACAUUCAAAGCCUCGACAAACUGUCCUGCACUUCAGAGAAACAACAAUGGACUCAGUAAUUACAUGGGAUUCAAACUCAUUCAUUACAUGGUGACUCUGUACGCUGUUUAUUUAUGUAUUAGGCUGUGCAAGACUGAAAGUCGUAGUUCAAGUUGGCUAACACAUCUCCUUAUGCCCAAGUUUCUUUUUUACUAAGUUUUGCAGAGUAGUUUAACCGAUUGUAUGCCUAUUUAUAUAUGUGAAUCACUACAAGUUAUAUCAGAGAAGUAUGAGAUUUACUUCGGAAAACUGACCGAUUCAAGCUAGAUUAGAUUUCUAAUUUUGAUAAAAUGGAAUUCGGUAAUAUUGAAAUAUAUUCAAUUUUAAUAUUUGAUAAAAUGGGUCGAAAAUGGAUAUUAAAAAUACAUUAUCAAAUUACCAAUUACUGGCUUAAUUAGUAAAUACUAAUAAUUACUAAAUACUAAUUAGUAAAUAAUAACUAAUAAUUACUUAACUACUAACUGGUGACUAGGCACGUUAAUAAGCAGGGUUUGAGUUGAAUUUCUAAGAUUUAAAUUCAAACUCAUUAAAUUUAGUUAGACCCAAACCCUUAUGGGUCUGAAAAAGUAAACUCAGAUUUGGAUCUUCAUAGAUUGGAUAUCCGUGGAUACCUUUUUGAACAUACAGUGAAUAACCAAAGUGAAAAUAUUUUGAAAUAUAUAGAGUCAAAAAAUAACAUAAAUAUUAUCCAAUUUUUAUUUUUAAAUAAUAAAAUUAACAUUGAUGAUGUUCAAUACAAUAUUAUAUUAACUAAAACUAUUUAUUUUUAAAGUUUCAUCCGUCUCUAUUUUCAAUCUUUCAUUUGUUUACUUUUAUUGUUUCUCUUCUUCCUAAAAAUGUUUGUACUAAUUACAAUGACAUAGAAUAUUAGAUUAUUUUAUAAGUUUGUUGAUACACAUACAGAGAAUAUUACAUGGGUCUAGGUAGGGUCUAAUUUAGAUCUGAAUCAUAAAAAAUCAGACCCUACUCAGACCCAUGGCUCUCUUGCAGGAUCUGGGUCUGGGUUUAAUAAAUUAAAUCUAAACCCUAUCCAAGUGUUUUGGAUCUAGAUAAAAGUCAACCCAUUGACAUGCCUAUUAGUGACUACAUAUUACUACAAACUUAUUGAUUAGAGAAAGUGAUAUUUAGCCUCCCAAAUUAGCCUAUUGCACUGGUUGGAGGUAUAAUACUUAGUUCGUGGAUUGGAGUGCAACAGACUAAAAUGGAUGUGCAAAUAUCAAUUCCCUAAUUUAGUUAGCUAUUGACUAUUGAGUGCCAACUACUAACUAUUCGAUAUUUGAGUAUUAGUUUACUGCAUUGCGGAAUUGGUUGGAGUUUGGACAGUAGAAAUAGAUUAUUGGCAUUUCGGAUAUUUUAGGAAAAGCAAUGAACAUAUAUAAAGUUGAACGAGUAUAAUUUUGCCAUUUGAGUAAAAUGCACUCUGAUUGGAAGAUAAUUGCUCAGGCAAUAUUGCUUGUCUUUUCAAUUUACUUGUGGUUAUGCUCCUUUCUCCCUUUUCUUUUUCCCAAAAUUGCAGAAUCACUACAAGUAUCCACAGUUUGGUACUGACCAGAUUAAAAAUAGAUACAGUGGAAGCCAAAUUAACUCUUCGGGAACUGAAGGAACCUCUGUCAAACAUCCUAAGAGAUGAUAGGACCUAAUUGCAUAAACCUAGUUACCCGAAUUGCAAAGGCAGGGGAUAGGUACAAUUUCACAGCUACUCUUUUAGGAAGAACAGUUGAAAAAAGAGUAGUUCUUCCAAAAUGAAUAGUUCUGUAGUUUUUUCGUCUAUUGGUUUUACAUUUGGUUUAGUUUGUCAAUGGCAUGAAAAGGAGUGGCCUACUUUAUGGACGUGUAAAUCCAAGAGUACACAUAUAUCACAUUCAUAUUUACUAAAUUCAGAUUUCAGAUUUCAGUUUUGUCAAACGCAACCUUAAUCAAAACUAAGCUAAAUUGUUUUAUUAAUUUCAUCACUUAUCUUUAGUUACCUAUGAAUGUACUCCUGCUUGUCUUUACUCAUGGUUCCAACAAGACAAUCCAGGAAAGAAUCACAUGGGUCCAACAAGCAGUAGUUGAAAGCUCUGAUUUUACAAUCCAACCCUGUACUUGAAUGACUAAAACAAAAUGAAACCUGCAUUCCAUGUUAGCACCACAUUCUUUCUCUUCUGGUUAGACAUGAGGCCACAGACAAGAGCAAUUGAAUUAAGAGUAGAUACAGUUUCUCAUACUAUAUAUUGUAACUGCAAAAUUAGUUACAACUUUUCAAGGAACCAGACAAACUUUAGGUCUGGGAUUCCAUUUCCAUUAGACUAUGAAAUUAUCCAGGAGUUUUUAGUCUCCAACUAAGUACUGGUAAUCCGAGAAUCAUUUGACUAUUUCCAGCCUGUCUGUCAAAACCAAAACAACAGGGCUGCAAUACUGUCAUCUGCUAUUUGCAUGUAAUAUAUCACAAAGCUCUACUCUACAACCAUUCUGAUUGAAACUUCUACAGCUAUACACCACCAGAUCACCAAGGUUACACCUGUAGAGAAGAAUUGUAUCAUUAGUCAAUUUCAUUUCACACACCUUCACCGCAUGCGUCCAGAGCUGGAUUUUCUUUCUCUGAUGAAUGUGUGAUUAUACAGUCAAGACAUGUAAAACACCUUCAAUGAAAUAUGAAAACAUCAUGCUGAAAAUUAAAACUAUCAUAACUUAAACUACAGGCCAACUCAUAAACGGAAAGAGGAACAUUCAUGCCAUCUUACAUGAUAAUGGGCUCAGAGUGGGCCUUCACUUACUAUGAAUAUUCAUUAAAGUUUUCCAUUUUUUAUUAAGUUACAAACUAUUAAAAAGUACAGCAAUGAAAAAAAAGGUCAGUGGUUGGCUGUUUUAUUGCCAAUACUUAGUUAAGCAAAGAAAGAACCCCAACGGUAACAGACGUCUCAGCCCCUUGCUUUCUCCAGAACACAAGUACAGCAGACAUGUAAAAAGGAGGUUACUACUUAACUAAGCACUUGAACCUGAUGAUCUGAGGAAACAUACUAGGGAGACAUGUAUAAAUCAUAUUUGUAACUACAGAAAGACCAUUACCGUGAAAAUAUUCUAUUGUAAUAACAUGUUACAAAAGCACCAUUACUGUGAAAAUAUUUUAUUGUAAUAACAAAAUGACGGUGGAACUCAAAGAAAAAAGGAACAUACCUAUCAAACAUAAACCUUCAUUAUAAGCUUCUUUUAAUGAUGCCACCAGUUAAAGAGAACUUCAUAUCCAUCACCUCAGCAAAUCCAUGUACAUCCGUUCGAUGCAAAGCAAUCUUGCAUAAAAAUCACUAAAACUUCUUUGCCCUAACACUACUAUUUACAUUUUUUAGUCACCAACUUGCAAAAAUUUACUGCUAAACAGAGCCUUCAGUCUAUGCAACAAGAACAAUGGUGUUAUGCUUCAAUCCCCAGAUCCUACAGCAGCAACAGUCUCAACAUUCUCUUCAAGCUUGUCAGCAGUAGAAGCAUCAAGAUUACAUGGAGUGGUAGCCCCAUUCACAAACUCAAUUGUGGUUUGGAAACUUCCCCACCUUCAAUAAGAAGCAAGAAGUAAGCAUCUUAACAGCACGGAUAAUAAAAUGUGUCAAGAUUUGAUGAAUUACCCAUAGUAGACGUUGUUCCUUCCAUGCAAAUAGGCUUCUGCAACAUAUCUGUGCCAGGAAAUGCAACCAUACUCAUAUACUUCAUUUCCUGCCUCUUUGAUUCCUCAAGGGGGAUAAAACCAAAAGCCUUUGUCCAUGUUUCUCUAACUUCAGCUACAGCAGGAAUGACCAGCUUCUCCACAUUAAGAGAGGAGAGAGCCUGCAACAAAUUUAGGAGAUUUAGAUCCAAAAGGUACAAGAUAAAGGAGGCAAAAUAAUCCAAAAGAUAGGAUAUGAAUAGGCAAACAACAUUAUAUGCCCCUUAGAGUGGGGGAAAAAUUUAAAUCAUGGAACCAGCAGAUCAAUGAAACAGACAACUGCAUGCAGAAAAAUCAGGGCAACAGUAAAACCCAUAAUGCAUUGUAAAUCAAUAUCUGAUCUAAAAUAAAGAGCUUGCACAUCAACAGCACGCGUAGCUGAAAGGGAACUCCAGCUGCAUAGAGCUUUUGUUACCAAAGAACUUUUUUACCAACUCUAAUAAAAUAUUCUGAUAAAAUCAUUAAGUUGUUACCAGAUAUAACUUGAUUGAGAUACAUUUUGCUGAUAACAUUCAACAAAUUAAAAAUCACAACUUCCCCUGUAGAUGUCAAAGGUGGAUGCUCAGGUGAAGUCAUCAGUAUAUAAAACAUGACUUGUGAGAGCAGACUUCAGAAUAUCUGAUAGUGCAGUGUUUGGACAGUGUAGAAUACAUGAAUGGGAUGAGAAUGAAGAUUAACGCAGCAGAUUUUUGUUUUCUUUACUUUUCUUUUUUCUGGGUGAAGUCAACCAGCAAUUAGAAUAACAUGGAUGUAGCAGACACAAACAAAAAUAUGACAGGGAUCACUGGCUUGUUCUCCAUAGAGCUCAUCUCAGUAAGAAACUGAAACAUAAAGUCUAUCACCAACCCCAGUGGGACCUAAACAUAAAAACGAACUUUGAAGCACAAAGUGGAUACAAGACAAAGAGAAGUAACAAGAUAACAAACAUGUAAUCCCUUCUAAGGCUAUAAUGUUUUUCUUUAUAAAAUCUGCAGUAGAAUGCUCUCUUAGCUACUACUUAUAUGCAUGUAUGCUUGUAUGUUGACACUCUUCCAUCUUCCAACUUUUUACUGACAGGAUUGAGAUAGUGAGAAAUUCUCUAUAAAUUCCACAUUAAUCCUUCAUAGAAUCUGGUACUGAAAGCAAUAAUGCAGUGGAAACACCUUAUCUUGCGAAGUUCUGGAAAUCUAGAACUUGUUCUGUUGUGCAGUCAUAAUACUUACUCGAGAAACACAUGGGCAUUAAACACCACAAGAAUGAAGUACAUCUAGAAGCUUUGAUUUCCAUAGUGGGGCCUCUUAUAAGCAUUAAAGAAUUGACAAAAAUAUGAAGGUAUAGACAGGAAAUACCAGUUCAAUUGCAGUAAGAAGCCGACGGCACAUCCCUUGACGUCGAUAAGUAAAGCGAGUUCCUAUGAAAGGCAUCUCAGCUACCUGAUUCCCAUGCACUCUAUUGUUAAAAGAGAAAAAGAUUCGAGUGUUAGCUUUUAGAUUAUAAAGACGGGCAAAAAAUUAUGGCACACACAGAGAAGUUGGAUCCAAUAUUGCUUGAACUCUGGCAUUUCAGCAAAUCAGCAAACAGCCAAAUAAAUGGGCAAAAUAUUAACGACCAUAGAAAGAGAUCAUCACAUAUAAAGUGCAUCUUUAUCAUAUUUACUGAAGGAGUACAUGAAAGUAAUUCAACAUUUAUGGCUUACAGUUUGACAAAUCAUUAUUAUCUAUGCAAGAAACCAGCCCUGGAUCUACCUUAAAAGAAAAGCUAUUAAAAGUGACAAGAGUGGAGUUUGUAAUGGUAUUUUAAGACCACAAAAUCAAAAAGUAACAGUCACAGCACUAUUUGGUGCAAAAUCUUUGAAUACCUAAUAUAUGGAAAGGUCUCAGAUUGGAAGGUCUCACAGAGAUCAUUUAAGAUCUUAGUAAGGGUUACAACACAAAACAUUGGCAGUGGAAUCAAAACAUAUGCUUCCAGUUGACAGUCAUAUACUACUCAUUUCAUCCUUCGAGCGUUACUAACAAUCACAUUCUCUAUCUUGCUCAAUAGGGCCCUACUGGUUGGGUUCAUCGCUUUGCUCACAUAUAAAAUAGAGUCCAGUGAAUAACCACACAAUCUUACAUUGUAUGUGCAACUUGCCGUCAAAAUCCCAGAUACUUGCAAUGGCCAACUCAACCUGAGUAGACUAAAUCAUGACCAUAACUAGGCUAUUUAAUUGCUCGUUUCCUGAAGAUUUAUCUUCCAAGAAGACCAACAAGCCUCUGCUAUUUCCAAUACCAUAUCAUGCAAGCCACUCAAAAUAUGCAAGUUUGUUCGUGCUGCUGUUUAGCAAAAAAUGAAAGUCAACAGUUAUAACUUAAUUGUUUAUCCUAUUGUAAACAAUAACGGGUAAUAUCUGCAUAGAUGAUUGCAGUUUGGAUCAUUAAAUCAACCAGAUUAACCCAGCAUGUAAAUAAAAGUAUGAUCAUUCUCUUCAUGUUUCUUAUUGCCACAUAAAUAUAAACAAAAAUAAUACAAAGGGAAAAACAUUAAGGCAUGUGAUAGUUUCAGAAAUUCUGAUGGCUCAAAAAACAUUGCAAGGCAACAGAAGAACCAACUCACAACCUUACAGCUGCUGCAGAGACAAGUUCAUCUCCCCUCUCUAAAAUGAAAGUAUAGAACCACUGGAAGUUUAGCCUUCUCAAAUUUGAUCUGGGAAAGAAAAAUUGUCAAUAAAUAUUACAUUUUAUUCUAUGCUCAAGCUAAUGUGCAUAGUUGGUAGAUUAGCUACAUAUUCGAAAACAAGUAAUAAAAUUUAUUUGGAAGAUUAGCAAAGGAAACAAGAAGGUUCUCCAAAAAUUAACCACUUUACAGCCAAAAGAAUAAGUCAGCACCAAAGAAUAUCAAAGAAUGGAAAGAUGACAGGUCAUUCAAGCGUCAAGUGCAAACCCCGUAAAAUAAGAAAAGAAGUAAACUUCACCUAUCAAGAGUGGAAAAAAAGUUUGGUUGCAUGGACUUAUAAAAUGCAUUGCUAGUUUCAUCUAUUAAAAGUCUUUGUUGUAAGUGAUGCUAAUACAGAUGAUACAAAAAAAUAAGGCAGAAGUUUCAACAUCAAUAACAGGAACCUAGACCAGCUAGAUCUCCACCAAAAAUAUAUAGUAUAUUAAGAAUAAACAGCUCAAUAUAAGAAAACACAAACUUGACUGCAAUGUGAUUGCCAAAUUAUUAUUUCAUUGUUGCCUAUACACUUGAAAAUAAUAAGAAAACAGAAAAAGCCACUCCUAUAACCUUCCCAAGUAUUUUAAGACACUCCACAACAGUGCUAAAAAAAUCAAGCACACCAAAUAAGGAAAAUGAUAGGUACGUACCCGCAGCUGUAUAUCACACUCUGAAUCACAUUAAUGUUGCUUCUCUCGUCAAUGAUAGGUUCGAAACACUCGUCCAUGAGAGAAAGUGCGAUGGCCAACUUAGAAUUGCAUAGAACCUCCAAUGAAUCAGCAUUACCAACCACAUCGGUAACAACAUCUUGACGACGAAGAACGGUCCACGAGUAUCCUGCUUCCAACUCAUGUCUCACACCAAGAAGCUUCUGUAGAUUUUCAUAUAGCUGUUUAAUAAGAAAAAGAAUUCAGUACAAUUAAUAAAAGUGGGUAAAAGUUCAUAUUAACCAUAAGCCUAAUCUAACUAUAAAUAGGGCAGAGGUUGUGUUAAAGCGCAUUUAAUGCAUGAUAAACCUCUAGAUAAUAUAUCCAAAACCAAGUAUACAUCAUUUGGCAGGAUAGAAUAAGGAGAAAAAAAGCCAAAUGCUGACCAACAUAGAAAUAAAAAGUGGAAUGAAUACAUUCAACAAAACUAAGCAAAAUGGAUCUCUAUCUAUCACAAGAUGCAUUACGCUAAGCAUUCACAUAGACGCCAGAAAGGUAAGAGCAAGAUCUGAAAUAUUAGAACGAGUAUAGCGUGAAACACAAAUAAUGGAAUCUUUGAAUAAAGCUUAACCAACCAUAAAUCAUAUAUUUGUGGACGAAAUUCGGUUACCGUAAAACUCAUGUCCACAGAAAAUUCACACAUCUUCUUCAACAUAACAACUGCACAGAUAUGUUCAAGAAUUUUUAGCAUGUACACAUUCUGUCCAAAUUUGCUUACUAACUAGAGGCACAAUAAAUGCAUCAAUAUUAAAUCAAUAAGCUCAUACUUAAGCUCAUACUUUAUGAGUUUGCUAUAGUUAAGUCAUGAUGUUGUAUCUCAGGUAUCUCCCCCUCAAAAAAAAAAAAAAAUCCUUGCCUUGUGAAGUCCACUAUUUAGUGCAGUGGCAUUUAACAAAUUUAGGCAUCAACAUAUGGCCUUCAAUGUGCAUGAACUAAGAUGAGCACAUUUACUACAACUCCAGUCCUGUUGAAAUACAAGCCAAGUUGUCUGCAAAGAGGAACGUGUUUACAUUAUAUAAUCAGUAUCAUACCUUCUGGCAGCCCCUCCCACAAAAUGAAAAGUCUGCUGCAUGAUUGUCUACAGCAUCCUUCCCCGAUCUGCAAUGAGUGUGGACUGCAAAUUGAAAUGGGACAGGUUAAAAGUUAUCAAAAUGAAACAGAAAAUGAGAAAUUAAAGCAAAUGAAUGUCACAGAAAUUACAGGAGAAUGUAUAUAUUUACUUACAUAUUUCUUCACAGAAAUAGCAUCUGAACCUUUCAUAGUCAUCCAUAUAAUCAAUCAGAACAGGAUCAACUUUUUUCUUAUCAGGAUUCUCCUCCGUGUCAGUAGCAUCAUCUGUACCAGGAGCAUCAUCCAUAUAAGGAGUAUCGUCUGGACCAGGAGCAUUCUCAGUACCCGGAGCAUCGUCACUCAGGGAGGCUUUCUCAGAGAUCUUCUCACAGAACUCAGCAGAGAAUGCCAUCCCACAGAACUUACAGGAACAGUAAACGCACCGCCAAUAUCCAACUGGCUCGUGCUGCAAUGGAAAGUGAGGAAGAUACAUCAUCUGAACUAUUUAAAAAGGAGAGAAAACUAAAAGAAUAGGAGGCAAUAGACCAUAGUCACCAUACUUCCAUCUGCAAGCAUCUAUGAUGAAAUGUUGAUGAGCAACCAUCGCAGCAGGUCAAUUCACCACCAUCUGCACAUAUGUUACAGGUAUCGUCAUGGGGAUCAUCACCAGCAGCAACAUCAACAUUUACUUGAUGGAAUCCUAUAUUAUCAGUCUUUUCUUGUUUACUCCAUGAUUCUCUAAUGCACUGCAGAAGUGAAUGUCCAGACUCCAAAAAUAUGUUCUCAUAAGCCUGGCCCAGUGAGCUACCAGCAUGAGACUUAAAAUCUGCACAAGUCACUACUUUACCACAACAAUCACAGGAUAUACCCUCGCUAGUUAUCCUCCCUUCGAGCAGCGAAGCAGUUCUUUCAUGAUUCAUGCACUGCACCUUGACCCCUGGUGAUACAGUUCCCCAGUCAAUCAUCCACGAAAGUAGAGUGCGUUUCCCCUUGUACAUCUCAAAACCAUCAGCAUCAUGGUCAUUUUCAGGGCAACGAGCCAAAAGAGUACAAGGCUUUCUUUCUCCUUUCUUUCUUGAUUUUGACUUUCUCCUGCCUGAGAAUAUCACUUGGUUACCUUGCUCAGAAAUAUCCACCUUCUUCUUCCUAGAUGGUUUCUCUCCAAGAUAUGGGUUAGCAUUGGAGUUUCCUUUGCACAUGGAGAGAGCUGUGCUAUCAUGCCCCUUCCAGUCUUACUCCCACCCACUUUUGGUAGCUUUUUGCAUUUGCUCCCUUUCUCUUUCGUAAUUCUAUACAGUUUGCUAAGUUCAUCCUCUGGAAUCAGAGUAAAAGCAGAUAUGGCCUUGGCAUCUGCAGUCCCAUUUUCGACCAUUUCUUUAAGCUUUUUAUAUGCCAAGGUAACUGACCAGUAAGUUCUUCCUUGAUGGUCAACAUAAACUGCAUCACAGUACUCUUUGCUCAUUCUUGGUCGAUACUGAAUUGUCCAACCUGCCUCCUUGAGAAUGCUGAUGAUUCGAUUUCUCAGCAACUGUUUUUCUGUGUUGCGUCCCACUUCGCUUCAUUUUUGUGAUUGCUUUUCUGCUCCUGGAGCUUAGGCAUGUCAGACUUCACUUUUUCCUUGUGCUUUUUUACCUUGACAACUUUGGCUCUCCGUAAGUUGAAAUUUCUCUCGGAUCCUGCUUUUGUUUUCUGGCCGGCAGCCACCUUCAAGUUCCCACUUUUCCCGUGAACUUUAGGAGGUCUUCCACGACGGCCCUUCACAGUUUUCCUUCCCCUCCAAGCAGGUCGAACACUUUCGUCAGCUUCAACCUUUGUCUUUAUAAUGUCCAACUGGCCUUCAUGGUCUCCUGCAUUCCCUUCUCCCUGAGCCUGCUUCACACUACCAGUUGAAGCUAUUGUCCUAGACCUCAAAACCCUUCCAAGUAUUUGAGGUCUAGCUUCCACGGCCAACUUUUCAACCUUCUUUCCCCCAUCUUCACUAACCCCAUCACCACUAGGAUUUGUCUUCCUUUUCCUUCCUCUGCGGCCCUUGCUGGUUUCCUGCCUGCUUUCACCAGUACUAGGAUCAGCAACCACAUCUCCAACCAUAUCAGCAUCUCUACCAUCUUCCAAAACUUCAUGCGUACUCCCAUCCUCCCCAAUUUUUGCAAGUUUAGCACUCUCCACCUUCAGGGACUCCAGUUCCGCACCCCCAUCACCAGAUAGUCCACUCCCGCCACCUUUCUUUUUCUCCCUCGUCGUUUUUUACCUACCACUUCCCCGCUUAUGCUAGCACCACCACUCACACCAACAUUUACGACACCAAUAUCAGCAGCAUUUGUACGACAUGCCAAAGGUUCAGACUCACUCACCUGCUCAGUGACUAAACCUGCAUUGGUCGAAGGAAAAUGAAACUCAGCCUUCCCCACAGCAUCCUCAGAAUAUUCACCACCGUUGCUUUUCAAAUUGUUUUCUUCCUUCCCUUCGCCCCCCUCUCCUUGUCCAACAUCAUCAGCAUCAGCAUUGUCAGCAACCUUCAUAUUAACACUAGAAUCAACAUCUCUCCCGUCUUCUUGAGCUGAAAAAUAAUCAGUAGAAGAAGGCGAGGCAGAAGAGGGCAUUUUAUUUUCACUAGGUUCCUUAUUCAAAUCAAGCAUUUCCCUUUCCCCUUUCUGCCGAGCAUUUGAUCUCAAACCCUCCCUCAUCUCCUUUACCAAACCCUACAAAAACAAAAUCCCACAUAAAAUCCAAAAGGGUUUUCAAAAAGAAGUUAAAACCAAAAAAAGGAGAAAUCAAAACAAGACAGAAAGACGGAAACUGGAAACACUAAAUACUAACCUUUUCCAGCAAUUCCAAUUGAAAAACUUCAAGAUUUUCUAUCUCCUAACAGACCCUGAAAAAGAAUUAUAGAUUACACUAGAUUUCCAACCCAAAAAGGGACAAAAAUCGUAAAUGUACCAGGGAAGCAAUUAAAAUUUACUCAACAAAAAAAAAAAAAAACUUCAUACCAAAAAACUUACCAAUAAAGAAAAAUUUCCCGAAUAAUCAAUCAAGAUUGAAUCAAGGCCUUCUCCUCGAAAAGUCAAUCCUUCAAUGACCAGCUGCAUUAAAAAAAUUCGGGAAAAAUAAAAAAAUCUAAAGGGGUUUUAGAUUUUGGAAGGGGAAAAUAAAGGGUUUUUGGGAACUGCGGAAUUUGAGUUCAAAAGGACAAGAAAUGGAUGUCGGAGUAUAUAUGGGUCCGAGGUCGAUGAAGUGAAUUACUCUUUAGGACUGAUGGGUUUGUCGAAUAGCGCUUAGACGGGGCUACAUUUUGGGGAAGAUGGGGAGGAACACGGAGGGCUAAUUUUGUAAUUUAAAAGAGGUAUGUUAAGAACUUUACAUAAAUUUCCCUCCAUAAAAUUGAAUCAAAGAAUUUAAAGAAGGAAAUUAAAAUAAAAGUUUACGGACAGUGGUUUGACUUUUUUUUAUGGCAUCUCGUUUUAAGGGAUGGGGUUUUACUCUAACAAAAUUCCACAGUUUAAGAAAAUUUUGGACCAACUUAUCAAGAAGAGGGAAAUAAUAAAAUUUAGUCAACUUUGAUUUUUUUUUAAAUUGUAAGAGAAUAAAAGUAAAAAAAAAAAAGAAAUAGCUUUUGAAAUUUUCUUUUUUCUUUUUUUAGAAAAUUUUGGUUUCCAGAUUAAAGUCAAGCAUGAUUUUGGAAAGAAAACUCGUACUCAUGAAUCAGUAUUGAUUAAUUACUAAAAGAUCAUAGAAGCAAACUCAGUUUUCAACCAAAAAAAAAAAGAAAAAAAAGAGAGACAUGGUUAAGUUGCAUUUAAAUUAAAAAGGUUUUGGGGAAAAAUUAACUGAUUUAGCAAAUAAAUAAAAAAAAUAAUUCAAAAAUGAUUCAUCAGAAUUGAUUUAAAUUGAUCUCGAUCAAUCACCAGAUAAUGGUACGAUUGUUGAAACAAAUUAGUGCAAAUUGUAAACUGCAACAUAGUGAAGAGAGGGCAACAAAUGUGCAGAUCACUUAGCUAAGUGCAGUCUCGAUUAGAAAUCUGUUAACUUUGGCUGUCAGUAUAUGAUAACAAGUUGAAGAAAUAAUUUAAUCUAUAAUGAUUUACAUGAUAGAGCAAUUAUCACCCUUUCUGUUGUAUUGCCUUCUAUGACUUUCAGAUCUCUUACCACAGUACCGUCCUUCCUGUCAUUCUUUAUACCAUUUUUUCUUUUCCCUUCUCUUCAGCCAACUUUUAGUAGUUUAUUUUUUUUUCAACUUUUUUUUCGUCACUUUUUAUCUUCUCACUAUCCCUUUCCUUGCCUAUAUCUAGCCUCUAGCUAACUCUAGCUUCCUAUCCUUGCCACCCAAUAUUUCUCUAUUAUUAUUCAAAAUAUAACUUAACAUAUGUUUAUAUUACACUAUUAUAAAGUGAAUUUGGCUAGUAAAAUAUAAAAAUGAAAAAUUCAAUACAAAAGUAUAAAAACACCAAAUUUAGUUAUUUCAUAUUAAUUUUGAAUUGAAUGAUUCAAAUUUUCAAAGGAGAAAUAUUGUCUUGAAUCUAUAUUCAACCUCCAAAUUGAAGAGUUAAAAUUUGAAACAAGAAACGAUUUCCACAACGUGCAAUUUGGUUUUAGAAUUUUAAAAUAUAUACUUAUAUUUGUACUUUCAAAAUAAAUUUCAAAAGAUAAAUUUUGAAGCAAAAGAAAAUAAGAAAGCCAUAACCUGCAAUUUGAUUUAAUAUUUUUAUAAUAUAUUUAAAUUUGACUCUCAUAAUAUAAAAAUCAUAUAAAACUGAAGAUUGAUCACAAUAGUUGUACGUGUUUGCAUUUAAAAAUGCAAACGAAAAACUGAUAGUAUCUUAUAAAACCCUAAAUACUACAAAAAUAUAUAUAUAAAUAACACAGCAAUUGUAGAUUUACAUAUGAAGAAAACAAUAAGAAUACAUAAAAUAACCAAUAAUUAUCAGCACAUAAACUGGUAUGAAGCACAUAUUUAUGUCAACCAACUACAUUUAAAGCCAAUUAAUAGACUUUGCUGUUGCUAAUGUUUUGUUAUUUAGUACAACAUUACUUAAUUAGUCACUAGGAUAGUGGCUAUGCUCUCCCUGUUACUCCAAAUGUAAAAAUAUAUGAAAACUUGAAUUGCUUGUGAAAAAUCAUCUAUAGAGCAUAUAAUUCUCAUGCAGAAAUUUAAACAGAUAAGUUUGGAUCAUGUUGAAACUUAAAGAAUGCAGAUUUUGUAAUACCAACUAUGUGAGUUAAAAGCCUAUGAAAUUACUUCAAACCCUUUUUAUAUCUUACCACAUUACGCUGGUCUGUCCAAACCUAAGGCGCCUCUAAAUUUCUAUUAUUACCAUACAAAUUGGUAAGCAAUACAGAUUUGCAUUAACCAGAAUAAUCGAACGUACAUAACAAAUAUUAUGGUGUUAUGGAGUCAUACCUGCAUUUUGUUCCUCUAUUUUUUUUCUUUUUUUUUUGGUGAAAAAAGGAAAUAGCAUAAAUGGAUUUAUCUUUUUUUUUUUAGCAUUUAUAUACUUUUUCUAUUUAAUCUUGUCUGCCCUCCCCUGUAUUAUUUACUUUCUUUAAUUAAUCAAAUCAGAGGACCUUUAAUUAUUAUCUUGUUAAUUGCUAAUAUCUUGUCAUUUAGUACAAUGUUCCUUAAACAAACAUCAGAGGACCUGAUUCACAAGGGCAUUUGCUGUUUCUCGUCUUGUGUCUCCAAUUGUAAAAGGACUGAGAUUUCAUUUGAUCAAAUUGAAGAACAUAAACCUUGAAUUACUUUAAAAGCUUAUAUAAAAAACACGUAUUUCUCAUGCAAAAAUUUAACGAAAAAAUUUUGGUUUAUGGCGAAACUUAAAAGUAUAUAGAUUUUCUAAUAUCAAACUAUGGCAAGUCAACAUCGCAUGAAACUAUUAGAUGUACUAACGAGUGCACGUUCAGCACGUUCGGAAAGCUCAGUUAUUGUAAAACCUUUUUUUUUUUUUCUCAUUUUUUGGUUAGUCAUCUUAAAUAUUUGAAGCUAGAUUCUUAAUUACCUUUUUUUUUUUUUGGGAUAACCUGUACUGUAACAUGGUCUGUCUAAACUUAAGGAGCUUUUAAAUUUCUAUUAUUAUCACACAAGCCGGUAUGAAGAACAGGUUUGCACUAACAAGAAUAGUCUUAUAGCUAAUUAAUUAGCCAAUUAGUGGAGAAUCGAAUAUUAAGAUGUACUCGAGUAUGCUGUUAUUGGAGUCAUUUCAAUAUUUUUGUGAAGUUGACUGCUACUUAGUUGUUUACUCUUAUGCACUAAUAGGCCCCUUUAUAACUUUUAAGAGUGUAAUUAGGCUCGAGCCUGCGAUAUAGAUUUCUAAUUAUAUUUGGGGCAAAUUCAUUUAAGUUUGACUUGCAUAUUUGUAUUUUAUCAUCGGUUUUUUGCUUUUUUUUUUUUUGGGGGCAAAUGAGAAGAACAGCAUAAAACUAAGACUCUGUUUGGAUUGAGGAUUUUUUGAAAAAUAAAAUUUUCAAUUACAAUACCACGGUAAUACACAAACAAAAACAAUAUAAAAAACACUAUAAACAACUUCAAAAAUACAAAAAAUACAAAAAAAAAAAAGCAACCUCAAAAAUAUAAAAAACAACUUCAAAAAUACUAAAAACAUAAAAAAAAACCUUAAAAAAUAUCAAAAAUACAAAAAAAAAACCUCAUCUACCGUAAUAGUUUUUCAAUUACAUUGCUACAACAAAAUAUUUUAAAAAUACAUCUAAAAACAACUAAUCCAAGCCUAAGUUAAUAGUUUUCUAACUGUUUUUGGACAUAUUCAUUUAAGCUCGACCAAACUCAAGCAAUCAAACUUUUAAACAAACAAAAUAUGAAUGUCCAAGUUCAAAAUAAUACAUCUUUUUCGGUGAUUGUUUCUAACCAUUAUAAAUUUGCCCCAAAGACCAUAACAAGUCCAGCUAAUGAUUGCAAGAAGAAUUGGCAUCAUUACAAAAGUCUACGUUCAGCCUUCACACUGCAAUAAUGAGUAGGGUCCAUGAUCAAUAAAUGGCAUUUGGGAGAAUUUUGUUGCCAUAGUUUUCAACAAGAACUUUCCUAUUUUGUGUUCUAUAAUUAGUACGCAAUAGUUUUCAACGAGAAUUUUUCCUAUUUUGUGUUCUAUAAUUACGUACACGGUGCCUUGUUUGGAUUGUAAUUUUUCGUAGAAAUUUUUGACGUUUUUUAUGAACAUAUUUUUUAAUUAUUUUUUUACCUCACAUAUAUCUAAUCGUUAUAAUAUAUUUUUCUACAAAAAUUUUUAAAAAUAGCAAUUCAAACUCCUAAAAAUAGCUAUAUUUUCAGGCAAAAACUAAUGAAAUCAUCAUAAUCUUACACUUGAAUAAUGUGUCACUUGGUCGAAUAAUGAGUUAUUAAGUAAAGAAGGUGUCAUUAUAUCCUUUGAUGUCUAUAUAUUUAUUUCAUGUUCCCAAUGAAUUUGGUGGUGAAGCAAAUUAUCUGCCGUUUCAAUUUUGAAAAAAAACAUGUAGAAGUAAAAGCACAACAUAUGUUACUCUGUUAAGUGUAAACAAUUGAUGAAAAAGUUACAUGAUAUUGGAGCGUUUUUACUAGGCAAGCGCGAAAAAGUACAAACAUCACAUGAAUUAAUGGAAAUGGGGCUGCAUAUGUUCAAAACUGGAAAUUAAAACCUGUAUGGACAAAAUAAUAACACAAGAUAGGCUUAAAUACAUAUAAUUGUAAGGUAAAUCUACUAUUAUUGGUAAGGCAAAGUUGGGGAAGAAGGGCAAUGAAAUUCCUAAAGAUUAAAGUAGUAACAACCCUUGCUUGCCCUGGCUUUUCUACUUAGCAAUAAGCAAAAGAGUUGGCCCGAGGGCCCUUUAGCUAAGGAAGUUUUAUGUAUGUAUAUACCAUUCAUACAUUUAUGUACUGAAUAUGUUGUACUUUCACCAAAGAUUGUACCAAUCUUCAAUUAACAAUAACUUUUGGUAUCCUUGGAAAAGUUUUAAUUUCUCACUGUAUGAAAAACAAAGUAGGGUUAAUGCAUAUCAGGAAGCAAUUAAUAUUUGCUAGUUCUAAAAACUUCAUUAUUAAAACUAGGAGUGUGUAAGAUCGAAAAAUUCCAAUUUACCACUGAAUUCCAAUUGAAUUCAAAAUUCGGAGCUGAAGUUGGAUUUUUCGAUUUCGAAUUAUGCAAAUUUGGUUCGAAUUCGGUAAUGGGAUUUUUCAAAUCGGAAUUUCCAAUUUAGAAUUCACAAUUCGAAAUCGAAAUUCAGAAUUCCUAUUUUGAUUUCAAAUUCCUUUUUCAUAUAUAUAUAUAUAUAUAUAAUUUUUAUAUAUAAAUGUAAUAUAACAUUUAUAUAAUAAUAAAUAAUUUUUAUAUUCCUGAAUUCGGUGAAAUAGGAAUUUACAGAAUUCGAAUUCAGAAUUAGUAAAUUCGAAAUUGAAUUUGGUUGAAAAUUUUGAUACCAAAAUUUCAAAAAAUCCUGAUUUCAAAGUUUCGAAUUAUCAAUUUCAUUUCCCAUUCGCAUCCCUAGCUAAAAACUACAAUAAUUGUACUGAUAACAGUACUAAUCCACUAGUAGAGUAUAGGCGAAUCUAGAAGACUGGACAAAUUUCCGUGGGGCAAUCUUGAAGUUCCAUAGGCCUCUUUUGAGAAAGUAGAAAUGGAAAAAGACAUUUUUUUCGGCGGUCUUGUUAUGGGUGCCGGUGGGGUAAGCUGAUGUCGGCCUCUCUGUCUAAGUGUCUAUUCAGGAAAAGCCAUUUAAAUUUCAGGAAAAGUCGAAUUGGAGGGUGAACUGGCCUUUUUCAACCUAAGAGCCUAUUUGAAUUGCUUUUUUUUUUUACGAAAAAUGUAAAAAUUUUCUCCAAAAAAUUGACAAUCACAAGGCAUAAAUAUUUCAAUUUUGUGUCAUACUGGAAGUUCAUCUCCUCUGGACGACAACUAGGCAAAAAGCAAGUUCGCAGUCUUAUCCUUUUUCGAUUUGUAUUUUGCUUCCCGUACCAGACAAUAUGCUUCAUUUGGUUUCUAUAUAUAGUUGUUUUUGUUGUCUUUUAUAAUACUAUUACUUAUUCUUUGAUUUGUUUUGUUGGAUAAUUAUGCAAUUGUAUUUUUCAUUUUAUAUUUUUAUUGAAAAUGUGUAGGUUAUCUUUAGACAGAUUAAUACCCAUCAUCUGUUCGUAUAUAUUAUGCAAAUUCUUGAGUGAAAUGCAAAUUCUUUUUUGUUUCCUUCGGAAGCUUUACAGAAUUAUUAUGAAGCUACGCGACUAGAAAUUGAUCCCCAUGAUCAAAAUUAUAUACAAAGUGGAGAAAGAAUGAGAGAGUUUCAAAUUUGUUCUUGAUCUUUCAAAGUUUUCACUUCUUGUAUACAUUCUUUUUCUUUUGCAACCUAUAAUUCAACAGUAAUGACAAUUCUAAAAAAGGGAUAAUUUCAGAAAUCUCCCGUGAGGUUUGUCAUAAUAUUACUCAAUUCCUCUCAAGUUUUUAAAAUCUCACUUAUCUCCCUUGUUAACUUGACAAGACUAAAUAUUCCUAUCAAAGGUCAUAAAUUCACAACAUUACCCUUGCUCUUAAUAAUUAUUUAACCAAAAAGUCAAAACAAAAUAAAUUUUAAAAGCAAAAAAUGUAAAUUAAAAAAAAAUUGCUAGCUAAUAAUGGUCCAUAUUUCUUUACAUUGGGGUCAUGGUGAGAUAGCAAAGGCUAUGGAUAAAUUAAAUCUAAUCAAUAUCAAUCACUUAGGAAGAUUUUAGAGAGUAAUUAACCCUUUAAAAAAUUUCAUGUAUAGUUAAAAUUAAGGAAGUCAAAAUAUUUUUUGGAGAAAUAUGUUUUAAUUCAUGGUGUAGUUUAAGUUGUAUUGAAAACUAAAAUAAUCUCUUCAUAUGUGUGAAUUUUUCAAGGUGUAAAUUUUGCUUUUAUUCCAAUACAACUAAAAAAAAUAUUUUACGUCAAGAAAUUUACACUUUAUAAAAAUGAAUUAAUCUUUCCUAUACUAACAGUGUAUAUACUGUCAAUAAAGGAUGAAUGACAGUUAUCUAAAAUUUGAAUUUGAACUCCAACUUUUGCAUAUGUGUUAUGUAUCCAACGGCGAAAGUAUGUACACUGUCAAUGUCUAUGAGAUUUAUUCUCUAAAAAUUUAACUUUAUCUUAUUUUUUAUUGUCAUUAUUAAUUCCAUAAGUAGGAUAACAUAAGGGUAGUAUUGGAACAAAAGUUUUAUCUUUCUUGUAUUUCCUCCAAAGGGGUUAAUAUGUUACAAGAAAUGUCAUUUCAAGGAGGUAAGUAAGAUUUUAAAAAUCUCAUGAGAACUGAGUGACAUUAUGAAAAACCUCGGAGGAGGUUUCCGAAAUUAUCUCUCUAAAAAACCCAUGUAUAAAUUUCUCUUUGCAGUAAAGCUUAAGAAGCGCACGGAUUAACAACAAAAUUUUCCUCCAUGAAAUAUAGAGCUUUGUCUCACUUUACGCGACGUCCCUUUCGGUGUCCACCUCUAAACUUUUCAAGUUUCAAUCAAACUAAUGUUAGUCCAAAAUUAAAUACACGUGCAGAUGUUGGAGAAAAGAGACAUAUAAGAAAUUAUAAAUCCCGUUCAAUUUAUGGAUUAAAUUAUGGAUUACAACAUAUAUGCACGUUAGAUUAGGUCAUUUCAUCUUAAUGAAAUGAAUAAAUUAUGGAUUAAAACAUACAUGCACAUUAGAUUAGGUCAUUUCAAUUUAAUGAAAUGAAUAAAUUAUGGAUUAAAACAUAAAUGCACAUUAGAUUAGGUCCCAUCUGAGAGAAAUUUUAUUUGGAAAUCAUAAAUUUUUUAUAUCAUAUUUAUCCUUCUAUGUUUCUAUGUGUGUCAUCCAUAUCUCUCUGUCUAAAUUCUUUCAUUAAUUACAUUUCUUUAUAUCCUUUCAGUGCAACAUGUGCAUCUAACGUGAAAACCCUAAGGCAUCUCUGAUUGUUAAAUAAUUAAUAUCAAGCAAUCUAUUGCUGCAGGAAGAGUUGAGCAAUUAGCGUUUAAUUUUUGGGGAAAAUUAAUAGAAUUCGUCCUAAUUUGUUUAGAAGACUAUAACGUACUGAAUUUAUUGACUUAAAACCAAAUCUGUCCAAAAGGUAGUUUAUGUAUGAUAUUAGUCCUAAACUUCAGUUUUUUUUUUAGAAUAAUACCUAAAAUAAUCUGUUUCCACCUUUAUAUUUUCUUCUUUUAUUUCCCCUUCUCUUACUUCUUUCAUUUAUUUUCACAUCUAAAACCUGAGCCCAUGAUUCCAUCUACCAUAUAGCUUUAAUUGGAUCAUUGUUUCCACAGAAGAACUCGCCGUAAACUUUUAUCCUUUGUCAUGGGGGGUAAAAAGCUGAUAAAAGAAAUUUGUGGGGGCAACCGGGAGAAAAAGUGCAAUUACAACUCCAAAGAUGUAUGUCAGAUUGUAAUUAACAAUAACAAGCCUCUUGGAAUCAUCUAUGAAUGUCCCUAUUUACAACAUCGUCAUGAAUUGGGGCCAAAAUGGUAAACUAAGAAGACUUUGGUAUUUAUUUAUCUGAGCGAAUUGCACGAAAUAUCACUAAACUAUUACAAUGUGCCGCUUUUGUACUAAACUUUUUCAUUAGCAAAAAAUGUUAUCGAACUAGUAAAUAUAUAUCGUUUAGACCACUCCGUGUACUUAUGCCGUCAUAAGAGAUGAAAAGUUACAUUUUCAUGGACAAUUUCGUCUGCUUGUUUGCAAAUUCAAUAUAUGCCAACUAAAUCAAAAUGCAUGUUCAAGUUCCACACAUUUGCCAAUGAACCAUCCACAAGCACCACUGAAUGGAUGAAUGAUAAACAUGCAAAAAAAAAAAAACAUAAAGAAGGAAUCACUUGCAGCUCAACAUUAAUGAACCAGGUAUCUACUUGCUUUAAUAGUUCUUCCUAUACUUUCUUCUUUUUCAAUGCUAGUAAGGCCUAUCCUUCUUCUUUUCGCAGAGCAAGCCCUUGUAGCUUGCUUCUCAGCCUCAAUCACAUUCUUCGGCUGAAAACCAAUGAUGAUGGAAUAUCACAAUUAUUAUGUGCAUUUUCAAUCACACACUAAAUUUGCAUUGUUUGAUCCUAAAAUAGUCAAGUUCUUUAACAAACCAUCAUCUGUAUACUCUAAAUAAUAGAACAUUCAAAAGCUUAAAAAUAUUGAAUCUUUACAAUACUAAAAGCAAUCCCACAAGAAAAAGCAAGCUUUUAGGCCUUUGGGUCCUGAGGGAGAGGAUUGUCUGAUCCACCUCUAUUAUUUUUGGUUUCUUCACAAAUACAUAUCCCAUUAUUCAAUCCCUCUAUCGUAAGACCCCCCAAGAAAAAGAAAAAAAAAUGAUGAUUGAAAAGCUAUUAUUUCAAUCCAAUGAACAGUUAUACCAAUUAAAAAUUCCAAACUUUGUGCUUAAUAGAAAUUCUUGUACAACCAAACGGAAUAGAAAAUCUAAUUAUGAUGAAAACCCAAAAAAUUUCUCAAAUUUUGGAAGACCUCAGGAGGAAAACAAAAGAAAGAAAGAGAGAAAGAAAAGGCAAAAGCCCAGAUGCAGUUUAACAAAGGGGGUUAGAUGCUGACUCCUGGGCUCUGGUGCUCAGCCUGGACAUUUAAGGGAUCAAUGAGCUCAUCCCUUUCCCUUUUCACCCACUUCGUUGCCAUCGAUCACUUGUGUUUUACUGCUAAUUUUCAUUUUCGGCCGAUGCUUUGUUCUCCUCACUGAUUACUUUGUUUUUGCUGGAUUAAUGCUGCAACUUUUCUCAUCGGUUGUUUACUUUGUUAAAAAUUUUGCCAACAUUCUAAACCCAACUCACCCCACUCUUGUCCCUUCAUUGCCACAAAAAGUUGUGCAAACGAAAUUACCCCUCAAAAAGUUACUUUCCAUCUCUUCUAAUGAUAUAAAGAGACGGAGUGGCCUAAACGGUAUAGAUUUACUAAUUCGGUGACAUUUGUGACUAAUAAAAAAAGUUUAGUAACCAAAAAUGACACAUUGCAAUAGUUUAGUGAUAUUUCGUAUAAUUUACUCUAUUUACGUCAAACCAAAGCUACACAUCUAUUUUAUUACUUUCUUCCCUAUCUUUUCCUAGAAGACUUGCUCCUUGUUCUGUCACACCGUAAUCUUAUUAGUUUUUUUUCUUACCCUCUCACCCCUCCCCAACGUCCCCUUUCACCUCCAACUGCUAGGUUCAAAAUUUAAACUUUGAAUGUACUAGCCUCUAAGAGUCAUCACUUGAUCAUUGGGUUAACUCCUAUGGUUCUACCAUUCUCUUAUUUAGUCAAUUAACUAGUGCAAAAGAAACUUUUGAUUGACAAAGAAAUUCAACGAUCUAGUUAGAUUGAUACUAAUAUUCGUGUCGAAUAUGUUAUGCAAAUAAAAUUUGAGAAGUCUAAAACUAAAUGACUAAUUUUUUGUCGGUCAUUAAUUGUGUGUAUGUUGUCACUUAUGAUCCAUUAAAUUUACUUUUUUUUUUCCUUGUGUAAGUAUUGUUGCACAAUAAAGCGUUCACAUGAUUCUUUGUUUGCAAAUUUGCAAAUCCUAAUUACUACAAAACACCACAUAUACAUAGUGCACAUACAAAUAAUUUCAUAAUAUAUGGCUUUAAUACUUAAAUCUGAAAUCCCGUACUUUUGGGGACGACUCUAGUACCACUAAGGCAAAGCUCAUUAGGGCUCAUUGCCCAUACUAGCUACAACCACACUUCUUGUGCGAGACCAGUGUUUAUGCCUCAUUACUCACCAUCUCAUGAGAUGUUGGUGCGUUUUGCAUAAGUUAGAAACUAUUCAACAAAUAAAUUAUAUUAAUUCUCCACGAAAAAUGAGUACAAGUUUAAAAACUGACAAAAUAUUUAUUAGAAAAAAUGAAUGCCCUACAAUAUUUCGCCACAAUUACUACACACAAUAUAUAUUUGUAUGUAUGUGUAUAUAAAUAUAUAUAUGUAUACGUAAGUAUGUAUAUGUAUAUAUGUAUGGAAUACAAAAAUAAAAGAAACAAAGAAAUAAUUUAAAAUAGCCCAGAAUCAAUAAUGCAUUACAUAGACGUUAUAUUCAACAACAGCAUCACCGGACUUGGAUCAAAGGUGUAAGUUGUUGCCAGAGCAUAACCUCUAGCAUAUCGGAAAAGCCCACUUCCACCUAUCACCGGCAUCUCCCUGACCAUGUUGGAAGCGGGAUUCCUCCCUACCACGGUGAUGGUGCUUCCAUAAUACUUACCCUGAAUGAAAGCAAAGUUCAUGGUCAUCAACAGACCAAUCUCUUCUUGUGAAGCUGACGCAUAAAAUCCCUGAGCUCUUCCGACCAUCUUUGAGCUGAGUUCUGGGCCUAGAGUUAACGGAUUAUCGAUCAUAUUCACCAGGCCAAAAGCAGUGAAUGAAUUGUUUUUGGGUGGCGGCACCACCGUGAUUGAAGUAGGUGUUUUGCCACUGAGGAUGUCGUGCCAGAAGAACCUGAAAUGGCUUAGCUUUUCUUCCUUCAUAUUUAUUGCUGUGGGAUCAACUGCCUUGAUGAACUCGUAUUCUUCAUCACCGUAAGUGACCUGAAUGGUGAUGAUGGAAAUGAAGAUGAAGAUGAAGAUGGUGAGGACAUGGAAUGCUGAAUUUGUAGCCAUGGAAUGGAAGGUCAAUUUCUUCUUGGAAAUGUGUCGACGGUGCAUCACUAUAUAUAUAUAGAUUGUGAGGCAAAUGAUUUGCACAAUGAACACAUAUUUGUAAGCUUGAAGAAGGGGUUUCACAAGUUUGGUUCUGUCCUUUCAAACCAAUUCGUGUAAUUCUUAUUAUAUUUAAUAUAAAUUCGUACAAUUUUAAUAUAAUUGUCAAUUUAGUUGUAUUAGUUGACAAAUUUAAAUUUAUACUUAAAUUGUACGUGUUUAUAUUUAAGCUGUAAAAAUUAUAUGAGCCUAUUUGAAUUGGAUACAACUCAUGAGGCCAUCAAAUGAAACAAUUGAAUAGGUGCGCACUGUUUUGGGAGCAUUCGUUCCUACCUAAGCUGAGAAAUCAUAUCAUUUUCCCAUUGACAAGGAGCCACAUUUGUUGCUGAAGUUGAGGACUGAUAUUGCUUAUCCCGUUGGGAAUUGUUUGGAAUUUUAGAAUUACCUUAAACUUUAUUUCACUAAUCUCAUUUUUCCCAGUUUUCAUUAGAAUAUUAAUUUGACUUAAAAUCUUGAGAAAUGAUUGCAUGUGAUAAACAGAAACCAGAAAAAAAACACACACACACACACAAAUUCGCAUAUUAAGUAUGCUGAUCGGGUUUUAGUUACUAUUUGUCAUUGAAAUAAUUUCUGUGAACAUUGAAAAGAUUGAUUCCAAACCCCUGAUCAAGUUUGACAAAUUUACACUUCAAAACAAGAAAACUUUUCUUUAUAAGCUCUUAUUAUGUUAAAGAAUUUUCGCACCAAGAACGCUGGAGAAACACUUGGUUGUUGUAGACCCGAGACUACUAGGUGAACAAAGACCAAUUCCUGCAUGGUGCAUUUCCCACCUACCUUUUUGUUGACAGGUUUUUCCAUAGCAUGCAGUUCCCUACUCAAUUUUUCAAUUUGAUUUCUUAAAGCAAAGAGAAAGUACUAAAUAUUUUUCAAGGGGCCAUAUUAAUCUAAUUGAAACAAUGAGGGGAUGCAUAGUGAAGGAGCUGUAUUUUUCAAGGGGUUGUAGGGUAAUCAACUAAUGUUUUGUUCUCAUCUAUAUGUUUUAAACAUCAAUUUUUAUUGUGUGAAAGAAAAAACAACCUAUGCCAUGCACGAUUUCUCAUGCCAGUAUAAAUUAAAAUGGCGUUUAUGCACUAAGAUCCUAGUGCUAAACAUAAUUUCCAGGCCACUGAGGAUUUGUAUUAUUAUUAAUCUCUUCGUCUCUUGGCAAAAAAAAAAUUGCCCACUUUGCUUUAUGAAUAUAUCAAGUAUUUUAAGGAGCAAGUAAAAUUUUACAGCUCCUGAAUUUUAGAUAGUUCAAAGUUUUGCCUUUACAUACUUUAUGCAGCAAAAUGUAUUGAAACUAAAGGACCAUUAACGUCGUAUUUGUUAUAAAGUUCCUUUCUUUGAUUUUUUUUAAAUUAAUGUUCAAUUUUUGUUGUUUGGUACCUUUUUAAGAAAAUUGCAAUGAUGACAAUCAUGAAUUUUACUAAUUUAAUUGUUAAUUUGAAUUUUUUUAAAUUUUUUGUUACAUUUGAAAGUGUCAAGAUAGUUUGAACAAUGGCACUUGUAGUGAUAUGAGAACUCAAACUUGUUACACUUGUAAGUGCCUUUAAAAAUUCAUAGAGUGGCAUCUUUUCAUGCCAUGGGUUUUUGGUCCAAUGACAUGUUCGAAAAAGCAUUGAAACAACUACUUUAUGAAUAUGCAUAAGUGCCACGAGACUACAAUAGUGACAUCGGUGGGUAAAUGACACCUAGGAUAGAAUGUCAUUAUUAAACCAAAAAAUGCCGCUAAAAUACAAAUAAAGCGAUAUAAAUGACUUGUAAUGCUUGUGUUCAAGAUUACAUUAAGGGUCUGUUUGGUUGAAAGUAAAAUGUUUUUCUUGGGAAAAUAUUUUCCGUGGAAGUAAUUUUCCAGGAAAAUUAUUUCCCUUUCAUCAUUUUCAGGUGUUUGGUUAGCUUAUUGAAAAUAUUUUCUUACUUUAUUUUUCUGGUGUUUGUUUAACUUUUGAAAUAUUUUCACUUUUAUCUCUAUCUUUACUUUCUACACAUUAUAACUACAUACUUCUUUUCAUGCAAAAUAAGAAAAUUUAUCUAAUUGUUUAACUUUAAAAAAUCUUGGAGAAAUGUACAUAUGAAUAAAAAAUAUCUCCUUAAGCAAUAAACAAAUUACUGGCCAUUUAGUGUCAAAUAUCAAUCACAUGCAAUGCUUAUUGUGACAUAUAUCUUGCACUCUCACUGUUGAAAGUUUCUCUAGAAAAGAAUGUCCCUAUUAUACAUAAUUAAUUACUAGCAUAGGAUGAGCAGGAUGAGAUUUUUUUUUAUUUUGAAUAUACUAGGGGGAGGGUUGGGUGGUACGGGGGAGGGAGGGUUGGGAAGAGGUAUUGGAUUCGAGUCCUCCUGUUUACACUAAAAAAAAAAAGAACAUAUUACAAGAUAUUUUCAGUAAGUUUGGAACAUACUACAGGCGAGAUGCAUGCAUUUCGGAAAACAACUUCAGUAUAUUUGGAAGGGAAGUUGUUUUCCAUUAGAUGAGUGAAAAUAUUUUACAUAGGAAAAUAUUUUCAGUAAGUUUUGUGCAACCAAACACGGGAAAUUAGGAAAAUAUUUUCCUGGAAAAUAUUUUCACCCGAAACAAACGGACCCUAAAUCCAAUUAAUUUUUUUUUGGGAAAUCAAACUUGGAUGCUUGCCUUGUUUGGAUUGUGGUUUUUUGCAGAAAAUUUUUUACUUUUUUAAACAUAUUUUUCAAUCAUUUUUUUAUCUCGCAUAUAUUAAAUCGUUACAAUAUAUUUUUCUAUAAAAACUUUUAAAAAUAGCAAUCCAAACAAAAGGCCCCGAGCCUGAACCAUAUGUGAGAGAGAGAAAAACUUUGAGCCUAUGAGCUGUACCUUAGUUUAAGGCAUCAUUGACAAUGACUAAAUCUUAAAGUUACUUCAAAUUAAAGCAUCGCAGCCCUCAAAAAAAAAAAAAAAAAAAAAAAACCCUAAAGCAUCAUUGGUGUUGUUAAACAAUGAGUAUACAUCAAGCAAUCUAUUAAUUGGUGGAGGACGAGUUGAGCAAGUCGCGUUAUAAUUUGUUAAGGGGGAAAUUGUAAGAUUAGACAUAAUUAUUUAUUAACUUAAAAAGUUUUGUUGUCCAUAAGUUACUUUAUACAUUAUUUUUGUCCUAAACACUUCUUUUUUUAAGCUUCACUUCUUUUUUUUUUUUUUAAGAAUAACAAAUCAUAUUCACAUUAUUGAAUCCAUUUCCUCCUCUUUGUUUUGUUUUUGUUUUUGUUUUUCCCCUUCUCCUACUUCUUUCAUUCAUUUUCAUUGCUAAACCUGGAUCAUUGAUUCCAUCUUGUCCACUUACAUUAUGUCAUAAACUCCAAAGAUUUAUGUCAAAAGACAGUGGACUAAGUAUCUUUUGUCCAUUCACAUUUUCAGGUCUACUUUACUUAAGAAACAUUAACAGAGGAAAAUAACAUUGACAAAUUUGUUGUAAUCAUAAAAAAUUCCCCGUGUACACCAUUAUCAUCACUAAUUGAGGUCAUCAUGGUAACCUUGGAAGAUUUUGGUAUUUAUUUCUGUCACGCCAAAGCCACGAGUUUGUGCUGUAUUACUUUCCUUUCCUUUCUUCUUCUAGAAGACUUGCUUCUUCUACUUUCUCUUAUUGGUUUAAUAAGCAGUGCAAGGGAGACUUUUCGCUGUCAAAGAUAUGCAACGAUCUAAGUGUAGUGAUAAUGAUAUGCAUGUCGAAUUUGCUAUUAAAAUAGAAUUUCAAAGAGUCUUUAAUGGUUGUCCAUCGGCCACUCAUUAUGUAUUUCAAGUGUUAAAUUUUUGAAUAGUUAAAAUUAAUUAAGAAAAGUGUAUAAAUGUGAUAACAAUUAUUUGUGUAUUUAUAUAUGUGAUAGGUUAGAUGAAAUUUAAACGUAUUAAUGAGAGCUUAUUAGGUAACUUCACGACCCUAAAACUUGAUGACUAAUUUUUGGAAGUUGGUCAUUAACCGUUUGUAAGUUAUUACUUAUGAUUCAAAUUCACUUGAUUUUAUUUGGUAAUAUUGUUUUUUUUUUUUUUAAGUGGCAGAUCUUGAAUUCAGAAUAUCUAACUAACAAUUCUUCCUACCUUAUCGCUCAAUCCAACCCUCCCUGGUAAAUAUUGCGUCAAAAUAAAGCUAGCUUUCAUUUUUUGUAUUUGUUUGAUAAUAAGAGAUUUGCGAUUCCCAAUUGUUAUAAAACUACCAAAUUACAUACAUAUUUUCUUGCCAAGCUACAGCUCAUUGAUACUCAUUAUCAUUGCUAAAACUGCCCUAUAUAGCUGUCUGUGACCAACGUUAAUGUCUCACUCAUCACUAUCUUGUGAAUGGUUGGUGAGGUUUGCUCAAGCUGGAAACUUUUCAACAAAUGCAUUAAUUCUCCAUGAAAAGGACUACACGUUUUGUAACGGGCAAAAUAGUUAUUAGAGAUAGAAACAUUGCCCCACAAAAUUCCGACACAAGUACCACGAAAAGAAAAAGGAACAAAAAAAAGUAAAAAGAAACCACAAAAAGAAAGAAAGAAAGAAAGAAAAGGUAAAAAAGCAAAAAAGAAAAGAAUCAAAGAAAGAAAAAGGAAAGAUCCCGGAAUUAAUAGUGCAUCACAAAAACGUUGUACUCAACGACAGCAUCACCGGACUUGGGAUCGAAGAAGUAAGUUGUUGCCUGAGCAUAACCUCUACUAAAUCGGAAAUCCCCACUACCACCGAUCACCGGCAUCUCCCUGACCUUGUUGAACACCGGAUUCCUCCCUAGCACGGUGAUGGUGCUUCCAUUGUACUUACCUUCGGUAAAUGCAAAGUUCAUGGUCAUUAAUAGACCAACCUCUUCUUGUGAUGCUGAUGCAUAAAAUCCCUGAGCUCUUCCGACAACUUUAGUGCUGAGAUUCGGGCCGAGAGUCAACGGAUUAUCGAUCAUGUUAACAGCACCAAAGCCAGUGAAGGAAGCGGUUUUCGGAGGUGGCACCACCAUGACUGAAGUAGGUGCUUUGCCACUGAGGAUGUCGUGCCAGUAGAACCUGAAAUGGCUUAGCUUUUCUUGCUUCAUCUUCAGUGCUGUGGGAUUAAUUGCUUUGACGAACUGGAAUUCUUCAUCACCAUAGGUGACCUGAAUGGUGAUGAUGGAAAAGAAGAUGAAGAUGGUAAGGAGAUGGAGGGCUGAAAUUCUAGCCAUGGAAUGGAAGGCAACGAAUUUCUUUUAGGAAAUUUGCUAAGGGUCCUUGAUUAUAUAUAUGCGUAUUGUGAGGGGAAUGACCAGAUACGAACAACUUUUGGAAGUAAUUCUUUUUGACAAUGUGCAAAGUAUUGCACGAGUUGUGCAAGCUCACAAAUAAUUUGUUGCAACAAAUAUAUUUAUGCUAGCAUACUAAAUUAGGACUUAAAAAUAGAAAUUUUCAUAUUGUAUUAUUUAGUAGUGCUUCAGACAAAUUAAAGUUUUAAUAUUACAUUAUUUAAUAGUGCUUUAGGCAAGUUAGGAUUUUUGUAACUCUAUUGGAAUCAAAUUAUAAUAGUUUUAUUAUUUAAAACUAGUAUUUUAUUAGAAAAUUUUUUAUGAUUAUAAAAUUUGUUUAUCAGAUCGUCCAGUUUAUAAUAAAAAAAUAGGGAGUCUUGUUGGUGUCAUCAGUUGACAAGAGUGGAUUUGAUAGCUUUGUUAUUAUGGCAUUUGAUAUAUUAUUAUUGGUACUAUUUUUCUUCUUUCACAUAUAUUUUUAUGUGUGUAAAUUGCCUCCCUUUAUACAUUAAGAUCAAAAUACCAAUUAAGAUCAAAAUUUCAUGAAUUAGAGGUCCUGCAAUGAAAUUGAAUCUUACUAAAUGUGAGCUCAUUUUAACUUAAUUGUUGGUUUUCGUCCUACUAUAUAUGAGUCAUUAAUUGUACUCUAGUUAAUGAUCAUUCAUCUAUAUUGAUCCUAGUAUUGGGUUUACCAGUACAUAUCUCUAGGUUUCUUUUAGUACUAUUUUCUACAUAUCUGUAAAUGACAACAAAUAACCAUGUGUCCACGUACUUAUAUGAGAUUGUGCACAAUGACGGAGCCAAUUAGGGGGCUGAGGGGGGCAUGGCCCCUCUAAGUUUUGAAAAUUUUAAUUUAUAGUAUGUAAAUAUAUGUAUAAGAUAAAGUUGGCCCCCUCAUUUUUUACAAUUUUAGUUUAUAUUAUGAGAGUUUAUAUAUAUGUGUGUGUCUGUGUCUGUGUGUCUGUGUGCGAAUUAGCCACCUUUGAUGUAAUUUUUUCUUCAAAAAAAAGUUAUUUAUUUUUUAUUGUGCUAAUUAUUUAACAUUCAAAAAAUUAAACAUAUAAUUUGAUGAUCCAUAGUAAAUUGACCCAAUUUGAUAUAUUAUAAUAAAGACUCAAUUCAUAAUUAUGAAUGGGCUAAAAUAAAAAUAAUUACAUUAUUGAUCCAUGUACAAAUAUACAACUUAGCCUAAUUGAUAAAAAAAUUUAAAAUUAGUGAUCUAUCCUCUUGUUGACCCAUAUACAAAUAUACAAAUAAUUACUUGAAGACUUGGUAAAGACAAGAAUUGAGUGAUCUAUCCUGUUGUUGACAGAUUGAUUAUAUUUCUUUUCACUCUUCAUGUAUCAAUACAACUAUAGAACGGGCAUUUUCAAUUAUAAAUAUAAUCAAAACAAAGCUCCAAAACAAGAUAAAAGACAAUUUCUGAAUGAUUGUCUAACAAUAUACAUAAAAAAAGGGAAGUUGUUCAAAAAUUUAGCACUGGAUUUAAUUAUAAUGAAUUUAGUUCUAUGAAUAAUGUAAAGCUCAAUAUACUUUUAAGAAAAGAGGUUGAAAUUUCAAGGUAUGCUAAUAACUUUUAUCUUUUUUAAUUGAAAAUAGUUAUAUUUAUAUUGCAUAAUUAUAUUUUUGUUUUUGCAUAAGUGAUGUAUUGGAUCAUCUUCUCAUAAUGUACAAUUUGGAUAGUUUGUGAUGUUAUAAGACAUUUAAUCAAAGAUUAUUUCUUAUCUUAAUUUUAGUUAUGACUAUGCUACAUAUUUAUGAAAUAGACAUACGUUUAUAAUUAAAGUUAAUAUUUGAUAUUUUAAGAUGCCAUAUAUUUAAAUAAUGAAAAUUAUUUUAAACAUAUAUAUUAAAAUAAUUUUGUUCGAAAAAUUUUGGCCCCAAGGAAAAAAUCCUGGCUCCGUCAUUGAUUGUGCAGCUAUACGUAUGCAAAAGAACUUCGAGUGUGUGUUUGUAGUUUCAAAGGAAUCGUGUCAUUUUCCAGUUGACAUUGGAUCCCACUUAUGUUGUGGAAGUUGGGGAUGGAUUCUGCCUGUCCCACUUUGGAUUUUAUGGACAUUUAGUAAAUUUCUCUAUCCCAAUUCCCAAUUCUUUUGUAGUCUUCAUUAGAAAACUAAUUUGGCUUAAAUUAUUGAUAAAACUUUUCAUUACAAGCUCCUUUUGAGUUGAAGAUUUUCGCAGCAACAACAGAGGUGGAAAAACUUUCUAGUCGGUAGCGAGACUAGUAGGUCAACAAAGAUCAAUUCCCUCGUGGUAUAUUGCCCACAUACCUACUCUUGUUGACAAGUUCUUCCACAGCAUGCUAUUCCCCAUUCAAUUUCUCAAUGAGAAUGCGGAAAAAUUGAUCUUAAAGCAACGAAAAUGUAAACACUGUCAAAGUAGAAGUGUAUGAUGACUGAUCAUAACUAAGAGUAGAAGUCUUUUGCCUAUGCACGAAGUCUAUCAUGAAGGAUCUUUCUGUCAUAAAUUUCUUGGACCACCUACAAAUUCGACAAGUGCAUGAUGACAUGAUACAAUACAAGAGGAGUAGGCUUGUUUCCAUUUUCAGUUCUGAAGUAUGCAUUCAAGAAAGUUUUACUCCUUUUUUGUCUUUUAAAGGAAGGUUUUUAAUAAAGAAGGGACUGUGUUAUUGACAUUUUAGUGUUUUCAUUUAAUGUUAUUGCAUUAUAAUCACUGAACUUUGGCUGAGUGGUCACCAACUUUUGGGCUGUAAGUCAGAGGUUCGAAUUCCAUCUGCAGUGGAAAAAAAUUCAAAAGAGGUUACCGGAAUGUUAUCUGUAUACCUAUUAGCCCUUACUUAGUUUCUUUAGACUUCUCUUCCCUGUAAUAUAAGAUAGAUUAGGUUACAGGAAUGUUAUCGUUAUGAUAAAAAAAAAAGUUAUUGCAUUAUGGUUUUUUCCAUUUCGCAUAAAAUAUGCACAUUAAAAAAAGAGAGUAGAUCAACUAUUAAUAAACUUACGAUUAUCACUUACCUCUUGAAUUGUAAUAUUUUGCAUAAAAAGUUUAUCUUUUUGUCAAAAUAUAGCAGUGAAUCCACUUCUUAUUAGAGUACGAAAUAGACAAACUCUUUUGUUAUAUACAUCAGUUAUACCAUUGCAAAGCAAAAAAGAGAGAACCAUUGCAAAGCCAAAAAAAAAAGAAAAAAAAUAAAUGGUCUGAUUGCACAUUAUUAAGUCAUGGGUCGUAAUAUAUAUUCAUAUCCAUGUGAAUUUCUAUGACAAAACAACAUCUAAGCUGAUUUAUGAAUCAGCAACCUUUUGAGUGCAAUUUAUCAUUUAUGAUUCAUGUUCACAAAAUUUUCUUGAUUAACAUUCAUUUUGUAAUUUGUAGUUUGCAAAUUGUGAUACACAGUCUUGUUAUAGAUACUUUUAACAGCAACAGCAAUGAAUUGUCUAUCUCAUAUGAGGGAUUGGUAGAAACUACAAAAAUUACUCAUAGAACAGUAAACGAGUACAACAUUGAUUGGAUAUAUUAUGCCCCACAAAAUUUCUAGCAGAAAUACCAAGAGACAAAAAGAAAACAAAAGCAAAGGAAAAAGUCCGAUCUCUAAGGGAAAACAAUCCCACGAUCAUCAAUAAUGCAUAACAUAGAUGUUGUACUCAACAACAGCAUCACCAGUCUUGGGGUCAAAGUUGUGGGUUGAUGCCUGAGCAUAACCAUUAG